GAUGAACGCUGGCGGCGUGCCUAAUACAUGCAAGUCGAACGAACAGACGAUGAUCUUGCGCGUCUCACGUUAGCGGAGGACGUGUGUGUAACACGUGUAUAACGUACCUGUAUGACGGGUAUAAUUUGGAGAAACGGGAUCUAAUACCGUAUAAUAUAUUGAACCGCGGGGGGGGAUGGUAAAAGACGGUGGUUCUGGCACUUAUAGAUGGAUCUGCGCCGCAUGGGCUAGUUGUUAAGUUAAAGGCUUAUGAAGGCAACGAGGCGUAGCCGAACUGAGAGGGUGAUCGGCCACCUUGGAACUGGACCACCGUCCAGAGGACUACGAGACGCACCAGUCGGGAACCUUCGGCAAUGGGCGAAAGUCUUACGGAGUAACGCCGAGCGAGUGAUGAAGGUCUUCGGAUCGUAAAAAUCUGUUAUUAGGGAAGAACCACUGUGUAAGUAAAUAUGCCCGUAUUGACGGUAACUAAUCAGAAAGCCACGGCUAACUACGUG
RNAcentral lists this ribosomal RNA (497 nucleotides) under uncultured bacterium. RNAcentral describes it as "partial 16S ribosomal RNA". It matches the Rfam family "Bacterial small subunit ribosomal RNA", at positions 28 to 507 of the family's 1533-position model. The record is from RNAcentral.